UAUACAACUCUUAACGGUGGAUAUCUCGGUUCUCGUAACGAUGAAGAACGCAGCAAACUGCGAUACGUAGUGCGAAUUGCAGGACUUUGUGAAUCAUCAAAUCUUUGAACGCAAGUUGCGCUCACAGCAUAUAUGUUGUGAGCAUGCCUGUUUGAGUGUCGUUUAC
RNAcentral lists this ribosomal RNA (166 nucleotides) under Porphyra umbilicalis (laver). RNAcentral's name for it is "5.8S ribosomal RNA". It matches the Rfam family "5.8S ribosomal RNA". From Rfam's summary of the family: 5.8S ribosomal RNA (5.8S rRNA) is a component of the large subunit of the eukaryotic ribosome. It is transcribed by RNA polymerase I as part of the 45S precursor that also contains 18S and 28S rRNA. The record is from RNAcentral. Lineage: Eukaryota; Rhodophyta; Bangiophyceae; Bangiales; Bangiaceae.